This 296-nucleotide ribosomal RNA is filed under the name Bacillus sp. (in: firmicutes). RNAcentral's name for it is "Bacillus sp. (in: Bacteria) partial 16S ribosomal RNA". It matches the Rfam family "Bacterial small subunit ribosomal RNA", at positions 71 to 358 of the family's 1533-position model. Lineage: Bacteria; Bacillati; Bacillota; Bacilli; Caryophanales; Bacillaceae. The record is from RNAcentral.
GAUGGGAGCUUGCUCCCUGAUAUCAGCGGCGGACGGGUGAGUAACACGUGGGUAACCUGCCUGUAAGAUCGGGAUAACUCCGGGAAACCGGGGCUAAUACCGGAUAAUUCAUUUCCUCGCAUGAGGAAAUGUUGAAAGGUGGCUUCUAGCUACCACUUACAGAUGGACCCGCGGCGCAUUAGCUAGUUGGUGAGGUAACGGCUCACCAAGGCCACGAUGCGUAGCCGACCUGAGAGGGUGAUCGGCCACACUGGGACUGAGACACGGCCCAGACUCCUACGGGAGGCAGCAGUGGG